UACGUAGGGGGCAAGCGUUGUCCGGAUUUAUUGGGCGUAAAGAGCGUGUAGGCGGCCUGACAGGUCUGCUGUGAAAACUCGAGGCUCAACCUCGAGAUGUCGGCGGAAACCGUCUGGCUAGAGUCCGGAAGAGGAGAGUGGAAUUCCUGGUGUAGCGGUGAAAUGCGCAGAUAUCGGGAAGAACACCCGUGGCGAAGGCGGCACUCUGGGACGGUACUGACGCUGAGACGCGAAAGCGUGGGGAGCGAACAGG
Molecule: ribosomal RNA, 253 nt
Filed under: uncultured bacterium
Lineage: Bacteria
Description: partial 16S ribosomal RNA
Rfam family: Bacterial small subunit ribosomal RNA
Source: RNAcentral